CAGAAGGUAGUUUAUUUAAAACAUCGGCUUUGGGAGCCGGAGAAGGAGGUUUAAAUCUUUCCUUUCUGA
This 69-nucleotide transfer RNA is filed under the name Francolinus francolinus (black francolin). RNAcentral describes it as "tRNA-Pro". It matches the Rfam family "tRNA". Rfam says of the family: Transfer RNA (tRNA) molecules are approximately 80 nucleotides in length. Their secondary structure includes four short double-helical elements and three loops (D, anti-codon, and T loops). RNAcentral also lists the same sequence under 1 other name. The record is from RNAcentral. Lineage: Eukaryota; Metazoa; Chordata; Aves; Galliformes; Phasianidae.